Long non-coding RNA from Melospiza melodia melodia, 372 nucleotides. RefSeq lists it as uncharacterized. Lineage: Eukaryota; Metazoa; Chordata; Aves; Passeriformes; Passerellidae. The record is from RefSeq and is a predicted model, not a curated record. The transcript has 2 exons.
ACUCCUCAUCCUGCAAAGGUUUUUCUGGAGGUUGUACGUUGCUAAACCGAUGCCUUGACACAACAGGACUCAUUGACCAUUUCUUUGCAGCUCCAACAGAGGAAGGAAAGCGGAAUUUCUCUUCAGGGAUGCUGAAAGAGGCAGCAAACAGUUGUCGGCAUCUUGAGAUGGGCCAGAACAUGUGACAUUUCCACAGCAAAGCCUGAAAACCCUGACUCGUUUGAGAAAAGAGUGCCAUCACAAGAUCAAACUGUCUCACUAUUAGCUCACUGUAUCUGAUGAAGUUAUAAAAUUAAAAAUACAGUUUGCAUGGGGAUGGUCAUCAAUAAAAGCCCAAGGGCUGUCAAGCUGUAUACGCUUCUGUUUCCAAAA